AAGAUUAUUAUGCCACUCUUUAAUGUGCUUCAUUACUCUCGUCUAAAGAUUUCACAUCCUAGCGGGGCUAAAAUGGAAGGGUUUUUUGGGAUGGCAUGGUAGAGGCUAUUCACUGUUGUGUAGCUCAUGAUCUAAUGGCCUUUCAGUGGAUCCUAAAUAACAUUUAGAAUGUGGUCAAAAAAUAGUACUACAUACAAUUUUUAAUAAUCUGGCAUUAUCUUUGCACUU
Molecule: unclassified non-coding RNA, 228 nt
Filed under: Hevea brasiliensis (rubber tree)
Lineage: Eukaryota; Viridiplantae; Streptophyta; Magnoliopsida; Malpighiales; Euphorbiaceae
Source: RNAcentral